Molecule: ribosomal RNA, 468 nt
Filed under: uncultured bacterium
Lineage: Bacteria
Description: partial 16S ribosomal RNA
Rfam family: Bacterial small subunit ribosomal RNA
Source: RNAcentral
GAUGAACGCUGGCGGCGUGCUUAACACAUGCAAGUCGAACGGAAAGGCCCAAGCUUGCUUGGGUACUCGAGUGGCGAACGGGUGAGUAACACGUGGGUGAUCUGCCCUGCACUUCGGGAUAAGCCUGGGAAACUGGGUCUAAUACCGGAUAGGACGAUGGUUUGGAUGCCAUUGUGGAAAGUUUUUUCGGUGUGGGAUGAGCUCGCGGCCUAUCAGCUUGUUGGUGGGGUAAUGGCCUACCAAGGCGUCGACGGGUAGCCGGCCUGAGAGGGUGUACGGCCACAUUGGGACUGGGAUACGGCCCAGACUGCGACGGGAGGCAGCAGUGGGGAAUAUUGCACAAUGGGCGCAAGCCUGAUGCAGCGACGCCGCGUGGGGGAUGACGGCCUUCGGGUUGUAGACUCCUUUCACUAGGGACGAAGCGUUUUUGUGACGGUACCUGGAGAAGAAGCACCGGCUAACUACGUG